Non-coding RNA from Stegodyphus mimosarum, 70 nucleotides. The record is from Rfam. Lineage: Eukaryota; Metazoa; Arthropoda; Arachnida; Araneae; Eresidae.
GCCUUCGUGGUGUAACGGUAGCACAUUCGGCCCGUAUUCGAGAGUCCAGGUUCGAGCCCCGGCGAGAGCA